CCUACGGGAGGCAGCAGUGAGGAAUAUUGGUCAAUGGACGGAAGUCUGAACCAGCCAUGCCGCGUGCAGGAAGACGGCUCUAUGAGUUGUAAACUGCUUUUGUACAAGGGUAAACCUGAAUACGUGUAUUCAGCUGAAAGUACUGUACGAAUAAGGAUCGGCUAACUCCGUGCCAGCAGCCGCGGUAAUACGGAGGAUCCAAGCGUUAUCCGGAUUUAUUGGGUUUAAAGGGUGCGUAGGCGGAUUGAUAAGUUAGAGGUGAAAUGUCCGAGCUUAACUCGGGAACUGCCUCUAAUACUGUUGGUCUAGAGAGUAGAUGCGGUAGGCGGAAUGUGUGGUGUAGCGGUGAAAUGCUUAGAGAUCAUACAGAACACCGAUUGCGAAGGCAGCUUACCAAUCUAUAUCUGACGUUGAGGCACGAAAGCGUGGGGAGCAAACAGGAUUAGAUACCCGAGUAGUC
Molecule: ribosomal RNA, 460 nt
Filed under: uncultured bacterium
Lineage: Bacteria
Description: partial 16S ribosomal RNA
Rfam family: Bacterial small subunit ribosomal RNA
Source: RNAcentral